This 97-nucleotide transfer RNA is filed under the name Phytomonospora endophytica. RNAcentral describes it as "tRNA-Pro". The record is from RNAcentral. Lineage: Bacteria; Bacillati; Actinomycetota; Actinomycetes; Micromonosporales; Micromonosporaceae.
GCCGACGGGUCGGCCGACAGGUCCGGCCGCGACGGCUCGGCGCCGGCGGCGACGAGCAGGUCGCCGACGGCGGCGAUCAUCGCGCCGUUGUCAGUAC